GACGAACGCUGGCGGCGUGCUUAACACAUGCAAGUCGAACGGAAAGGCCCUGCUUUUGUGGGGUGCUCGAGUGGCGAACGGGUGAGUAACACGUGAGUAACCUGCCCUUGACUUUGGGAUAACUUCAGGAAACUGGGGCUAAUACCGGAUAGGAGCUCCUGCUGCAUGGUGGGGGUUGGAAAGUUUCGGCGGUUGGGGAUGGACUCGCGGCUUAUCAGCUUGUUGGUGGGGUAGUGGCUUACCAAGGCUUUGACGGGUAGCCGGCCUGAGAGGGUGACCGGCCACAUUGGGACUGAGAUAGGGCCCAGACUCCUACGGGAGGCAGCAGUGGGGAAUAUGGCACAAUGGGCGGAAGCCUGAUGCAGCAACGCCGCGUGCGGGAUGACGGCCUUCGGGUUGUAAACCGCUUUCGCCUGUGACGAAGCGUGAGUGACGGUAAUGGGUAAAGAAGCACCGGCUAACUACGUG
RNAcentral lists this ribosomal RNA (468 nucleotides) under uncultured bacterium. Its description in RNAcentral is "partial 16S ribosomal RNA". It matches the Rfam family "Bacterial small subunit ribosomal RNA", at positions 28 to 507 of the family's 1533-position model. The record is from RNAcentral.